CUCAUUGGCUGGGCUGGGAGGAAUAGAUAGAGGGAGCAAAGAAAAGGAGGAAGAAACCAACCAAACUAAAAAAACAAAGCUAGUGAGAGAAAAAGAAAAAGCACUACCCCAAUUAGGCCUCACCUUCAAAGGUAAAACCCCACCUUCAUUUCUCCCACACAAUCUCUCUCAAAUAUCUUGAUUUUUUUUGGUUUUGCCACAGUUUUCUUUUUGGUCAUGGGUUGAAUAAUUUGGAGCUCCUGUUGCUGCUUUUGUUAAUCUAGAGGUUUUGAAGGUGCUACCCCUUUGUUUGCAGGGGUUGUUUGAAGAUUUUUGAUUUAGGGUUUUAGGUGUGAUUUCUGGGUUUUGGGUGUGGAGGUUUUUGGGUUUCAAAUCUGUUGGUUUUGGGUGGUGGGGUUGUUUGAGGGGGUUUAAGUGUUUGGUGCUGUGGUUUUUGGGGCUCUUGGGUUGGGGAUUUGGGUUUAAGGUUUGGUACAUUUUUUUGUUUCCCUCUCUGCAUUUGAGGGAAUCUAGGGUUGGAUAUUUGGUUGAUGGAAGGGCUGCUGGGUUAUUACUGAGGUGUUGUUCGGGCUCAAUUUUGGACAUUUGUUUACAAUUAGUGCAAUUUUGAUGAUUUUGAGCUCUGAUUGUGGGGUCCAGAGUGCAGAUUUGGAGCUGAAGUUUUUUUUCAGCUUUGGAAUCCUAAGCAGUGUGUUUAUUACAGAUUGAAAUUCUGACCAAGUUCAGGUUCAGGUUCAGGUUCAGGUUUCCGAAUUUUGAUGUAAAAAUUUGGGAUUCUGAAGUCUUUUAAGGAUUUUGAAAGAAUUUAUAGUGUGAAGAUGGCUGCCGAGUCGAACACUGGCUUUCACUUGCAGAAUCUAGGUUCAGCUAUGAACCGGCAUGCGAUAUCUUUUCAGUCAGGUGCAAUAAAUAGUACAUCUGAAAUGAUUCCAAUGGCCAGUUACUUUGGGGUAACUAAUACAGCCGGCAUGAUCAUGCCGGGAAAUUCCAACAUCAUUAACAACAACCCAGUGAUUACUCAAGCUGGGAAUUCUUCUGGUUCUCUUCUCCUUGAUUCAGUGCCAGGGUUGAAGCAUGAUACUGGCUUGGCAGUUGAGUGGUCUAUAGAGGAACAGUACAGAUUGGAGGAAGGUCUUGACAAGUAUGUACUUUGUUCAAGGUUUGCUGAUGAACCAAGUAUUAUGAGGUACAUAAAGAUUGCAGCUACAUUGCGUGACAAAACUGUACGGGAUGUUGCCCUGAGGUGUAGGUGGAUGACGAGAAAAAGAAGGAAACAGGAAGAGCACAAUAUGGGAAAGAAAGUGAACAUUAGGAAGGAUAAGCUGGUGGAAACAUCUUCAAAGGCUAUUAUACCUUCAGCUCCACCACUGGAUGUGGCUACAUAUUCUCUUAUGAUGCAACAUAUGGACCGGAAUGAACACUUGCCCUGCGAAGUCUCAGCAUUAAACGACACAGCCAAACAUCUUUUGGAACAGAAUGCUCAGGUUUUUAAUCAAAUCACAGCUAACCUUUCUACUUUCAAGUUACAGGAUAACAUUGACCUCUUCUGUCGCACGAGGGAUAACAUUACUGCCAUCCUAAAUGACAUGAGAGAUAUGCCUGGCAUAAUGAGCCACAUGCCACCACUCAAUGUGUACAUCAAUGAGGAUCUUGCAAAUAGUAUUCUGCCUAAUACAUCUCAGUUUUUUAUGUGAUUGUCUGGAAACAUGCUUGAAAUCCUUAGGGUUGUCUCACAAUUCAUCGCUAUGAGUAAUACAAACACAAUGAUGUAUGGCUUGCCGAGUGGAAUCCAUGUGAAGCAGGAGCCGAGAUGCUGAUGGAGUAUUCUUGAGAUAAGAGUUGAAUUUAUGUGGUCUUUAUGUAAGUACAAAAAUUUUUCUGCUGUAAAUGCAUUAAAAAAAGGAAGAAAAAAAAAGCAAAAAAAAAAAAAAAAAAAACAAAAAAAAGAAGAAAACCCUGGUAGGAGCGGUUUCUUCCUUUUGUGUACACAAGAAAAACUCAUCAUAGGUUGGGUCCCAUGAUGGAAAAAUUUGUAGAGAAGCCAUUUUUGGAACCUGAAAUGUUGAGCUCACCAGAUAAUGAAACCCCAAGCAUUGGAUAAUAAAAAUGCAGAGACUCCUGGCCCUCCUGGGAGAGAGCGUUCUAACCAGAUCUCUGAAUUUUGGGUUCAAAAAGGAAAAAAAAAAAGGAAAAAAGAAAGGGGCAAAAAAAAAAAAAAGACCAGAAGCUUUUUAUGUGUAUAAAAUUAUUUAUGUGACCCAAGUGAACCUUUGGAGUAGACCCUCUGUUUGGUGCUUGAUUUUUACCUGCAUUUUUCAGUAUUUAUUAUUAUGCUCUCUAUUAUAAGACCCAUUUUAAUUAGGGUAUUUUUUUUCCCAAGAAAUUUGUCAAAUUUUAUUAUUGCUUUUGUUAGUUAGUGAGAUGAGGUAUUUGUCUA
Vitis riparia (riverbank grape) is the source of this 2437-nucleotide RNA transcript. RefSeq lists it as uncharacterized. Lineage: Eukaryota; Viridiplantae; Streptophyta; Magnoliopsida; Vitales; Vitaceae. The transcript is spliced from 9 exons. The record is from RefSeq and is a predicted model, not a curated record.